GAUGAAGAACGCAGUGAAAUGCGAUAAGUAAUGUGAAUUGCAGAAUUCAGUGAAUCAUCGAAUCUUUGAACGCACAUUGCGCCCGCCAGUAUUCUGGCGGGCAUGCCUGUCUGAGCGUCAUUUCAACCCUCAAGCAACUUCUGCUUGGUGUUGGGGAUCGGCCGUCAAACGCCGCCCCCGAAACCUAUUGGCGAUCUCGCUGUAGCUUCCUAUGCGUAGUAGUAACAUCUCGCAUCUGGAGAGCGGCGCGGUCAUGCCGUAAAACACCCAACUUCUCAGGUUGACCUCAGAUCAGGUAGGAAUACCCGCUGAACUUAAGCAUAUCAAUAAGCGGAGGA
This 338-nucleotide unclassified non-coding RNA is filed under the name soil metagenome. Its description in RNAcentral is "partial contains 5.8S ribosomal RNA, internal transcribed spacer 2, and large subunit ribosomal RNA". The stretch from base 1 to 120 matches the Rfam family "5.8S ribosomal RNA", at positions 35 to 154 of the family's 154-position model. The record is from RNAcentral.